GACGAACGCUGGCGGCGUGCCUAAUACAUGCAAGUAGGACGCAGUUGCGAACGGGAGAGUAACGCGUAGGUAACUGCCUAGUAGAGGGGGAUAACUAUGGGAAACGAUAGCUAAUACCGCAUACUAGUAGAUGGACCUGCGUUGUAUUAGCUAGUAGGUAGGGUAAUGGCCUACCUAGGCGACGAUACAUAGACGACCGUGGAGGGUGAUCGGCCACACUGGGACUGAGACACGGCCCAGACUCCUACGGGAGGCAGCAGUAGGGAAUCUUCGGCAAUGGGGGGAACCCUGACCGAGCAACGCCGCGUGAGUGAAGAAGGUUUUCGGAUCGUAAAGCUCUGUUGUUAAGGAAGCGGUACUUAACCAGAAAGGGACGGCUAACUACGUGCCAGCAGCCGCGGUAAUUC
This 407-nucleotide ribosomal RNA is filed under the name uncultured bacterium. Its description in RNAcentral is "partial 16S ribosomal RNA". It matches the Rfam family "Bacterial small subunit ribosomal RNA", at positions 28 to 526 of the family's 1533-position model. The record is from RNAcentral.